AACGAACGCUGGCGGCAUGCCUAACACAUGCAAGUCGAACGAGGCCUUCGGGUCUAGUGGCGCACGGGUGCGUAACGCGUGGGAAUCUGCCCUUGGGUUCGGAAUAACUCAGAGAAAUUUGAGCUAAUACCGGAUGAUGACGUAAGUCCAAAGAUUUAUCGCCCAAGGAUGAGCCCGCGUAAGAUUAGCUUGUUGGUAGGGUAAUGGCCUACCAAGGCGACGAUCUUUAGCUGGUCUGAGAGGAUGAUCAGCCACACUGGGACUGAGACACGGCCCAGACUCCUACGGGAGGCAGCAGUGGGGAAUAUUGGACAAUGGGCGAAAGCCUGAUCCAGCAAUGCCGCGUGAGUGAUGAAGGCCUUAGGGUUGUAAAGCUCUUUUACCAGGGAUGAUAAUGACAGUACCUGGAGAAUAAGCUCCGGCUAACUCCGUG
RNAcentral lists this ribosomal RNA (433 nucleotides) under uncultured bacterium. RNAcentral's name for it is "bacterial SSU rRNA". It matches the Rfam family "Bacterial small subunit ribosomal RNA", at positions 29 to 507 of the family's 1533-position model. The record is from RNAcentral.